GGAUGUGAGGGUGAUCUGGCUAUGACAUCUGUCACCCCGUUGAUCAACAGGGUUGAUUUCAGCUGAUCUGGCUGGCUAGGUGCAUGUCCCCUUCCUCCCUUACCACUCCGUGUGCCUCUCUCUUUCAGCUGUGAAUUCGGUCGAAGAGGUCAACCUUCCCGAUAGAGGAGGACCCUCCUCCCGUGAUGGGUAUACGGGUAGGUGUGCUCCCUUGCUAGAAUCUCCAAAAAAGCUCUCAAGCUGGAGAUCUUGGGUGCUGCUCAAGGGCAAUGGGUGGGAAAGUGGGAAGUUUGUGGGAGAAGGUAAAGAUUUUAAAAAUAGUGCUUCGUUUUACUUUGGAUCAGU
Canis lupus familiaris (dog) is the source of this 345-nucleotide non-coding RNA. The record is from Rfam. Lineage: Eukaryota; Metazoa; Chordata; Mammalia; Carnivora; Canidae.